AUCUGGGUUUUUACACCCCAAAAUCUGGUAUUUAGACUCGGCACACUCCAAACUCUGGGGUUUAUACCCCAAAAUCUGGGGUGUGCCCCCCAAAAAUCCGGGUUUUAUACACCAAAAUUUGGGUUUUGUACACAAAAAUCGGGGUGCGCACCCCAAAGUCUGGGAUUGAGCCCCCCAAAAUCUGGAUGCAGACCCCAAAAUCCUGGUUUUACACCCCAAAAUCUGGUAUUUAGACGCUGAAAUCUGGGUGCACACUCCAAAAUCUGGGGUGUGCACCCCAAAAUCUGGGGUUUAUACACCAAAAUUUGGGGUUUAUACCCGAAAACCCGGUAUUUAACUAAGAAAUCUGGGGGGGUUACCCCAAAAUCCGGUAUUUAACCCCCAAAAUCCGGGGUUUGCACCCCAAAAACCUGGUGUUUGGCCCCCAAAUUACGAGCGCAGACCCCAAAUUCUGGGUUUUAUCCCCCAAAAUCUGAGGUGUGCACCCAAAAAACCUGAUUUUACACCCCAAAAUCGAGGGUUUACAUCCCAAAAUCUGGGGUUUAACCCCAAAAAUCCGUGUUUUACACCCCAAAAUCCGGGUGGUCACCCCACCGCUGCCCCCUCCCCCCCCCCC
Long non-coding RNA from Falco peregrinus (peregrine falcon), 616 nucleotides. RefSeq lists it as uncharacterized. NCBI's taxonomy places the organism in Eukaryota, Metazoa, Chordata, Aves, Falconiformes, Falconidae. The record is from RefSeq and is a predicted model, not a curated record. The transcript is spliced from 2 exons.